This 426-nucleotide ribosomal RNA is filed under the name uncultured Pseudomonas sp. Its description in RNAcentral is "bacterial SSU rRNA". It matches the Rfam family "Bacterial small subunit ribosomal RNA", at positions 356 to 774 of the family's 1533-position model. The record is from RNAcentral. Lineage: Bacteria; Pseudomonadati; Pseudomonadota; Gammaproteobacteria; Pseudomonadales; Pseudomonadaceae.
GGGGAAUAUUGGACAAUGGGCGAAAGCCUGAUCCAGCCAUGCCGCGUGUGUGAAGAAGGUCUUCGGAUUGUAAAGCACUUUAAGUUGGGAGGAAGGGCAGUUACCUAAUACGUGAUUGUUUUGACGUUACCGACAGAAUAAGCACCGGCUAACUCUGUGCCAGCAGCCGCGGUAAUACAGAGGGUGCAAGCGUUAAUCGGAAUUACUGGGCGUAAAGCGCGCGUAGGUGGUUAGUUAAGUUGGAUGUGAAAUCCCCGGGCUCAACCUGGGAACUGCAUUCAAAACUGACUGACUAGAGUAUGGUAGAGGGUGGUGGAAUUUCCUGUGUAGCGGUGAAAUGCGUAGAGAUCAGGAGGAACAUCCGUGGCGAAGGCGACUGCCUGGGCCAACACUGACACUGAGGCACGAAAGCGUGGGGAGCAAACA